Molecule: ribosomal RNA, 801 nt
Filed under: uncultured bacterium
Lineage: Bacteria
Description: bacterial SSU rRNA
Rfam family: Bacterial small subunit ribosomal RNA
Source: RNAcentral
CGGGAAUGUAGACUUCGGUCUUCAUUCUAGUGGCAAACGGGUGAGUAACGCGUAAGUGACCUGUCCCCGGGUGGGGGAUAACCCCGAGAAAUCGGAGCUAAUACCGCAUAAUGCACCUAGGAUAGUACCAUGGUGCCAAAGCCGCAAGGCGCUGGGGGAGGGGCUUGCGUCCUAUCAGGUUGUUGGCAGGGUAACGGCCUACCAAGCCGAUGACGGGUAGCUGGUCUGAGAGGAUGUCCAGCCACACUGGGACUGAGAUACGGCCCAGACUCCUACGGGAGGCAGCAGCAAGGAAUUCUGCGCAAUGGGCGAAAGCCUGACGCAGCAACGCCGCGUGGGUGAAGAAGGCCUUCGGGUCGUAAAGCCCUUUUGUUGGGGAAGAAGCUCUGACGGUACCCAACGAAUAAGCCUCGGCUAACUACGUGCCAGCAGCCGCGGUAAUACGUAGGAGGCAAGCGUUAUCCGGAUUCAUUGGGCGUAAAGAGCGCGUAGGCGGCCUAUUAAGUCGGUUGUGAAAUCUCUCGGCUCAACUGGGAGGGGUCGACCGAUACUGGUGGGCUUGAGGGCAGCAGAGGGAGGUGGAAUUCCCGGUGUAGCGGUGAAAUGCGUAGAGAUCGGGAGGAACACCAGUGGCGAAGGCGGCCUCCUGGGCUGCAUCUGACGCUGAGGCGCGAGAGCGUGGGGAGCAAACAGGAUUAGAUACCCUGGUAGUCCACGCUGUAAACGAUGGGCACUAGGUGUAGGGGGGUAUUGACCCCCCCUGUGCCGUAGCUAACGCAUUAAGUGCCCCACCUGGGGAGU